GCUGUAUCUACGUUAUUAGCUACUGCCCAUUUGACCCGGUUCUGCCAGAGUCGAUCAAGACUGAACGGUUUUCCAAAAUGAAGAGAAAUAAGUGUAUUCACAUAACAACGUCAGAGAGAGAGCAGCCUCAGAACCUUUGCUGGUUUUCCCUCCUCUUGGUUGUGAUUCUAAACGUCUUGGCCCAUUUGAUUUAUGAGGCCACGAGGAGCCGGCUCAGGGUCAUAAACUCAGUUUAGGCCAAGCACAAGGAGUCAUUAGCCGGCGAGAAGCUUGGGUCCAGAUCCGGGGUUUGACGUCUCUGGUGGUUUAUAACAGGAGUAGUGUUGUGGUUCCUCUCAAGCCUCGUGUGGUGUCGGUCCGUCAAUCACCAGCAGCCCAUGAGGCCGUGAUCAGCAGAAGCUGUCGUGGAUCACACGUAGAGUCCGACUGUUCCAGGCCAUUUGUGGAACCAGCUGAUGAGUGAAGGCGCUCAGGAGCAGCUCCACAUUUGCUCCGGUUGUGAUGAUCAGGGACCACGUCUCACAGGCUGGAGCUAAGAUCGGCUUCACCUGCAGAAAAAACUGAAGCGGCAGCAGGUGUUCAGGUAUGUGGCUGCUCAGGUUGCCCGCUGGUUCUGUUGGUUCUGCCCAUUUAAACACUGUUUAACUCUUUGACCUGAACACAAGAUGAGUGACCUUCCAGAUCUAUGAAAACCAGCGGGAUCCACGGUCAUAGUCGCUGGAUCAGCACCAUGUGAUCUAGUGCAGGGUGAAGCAGCUGAUGAGGACCUGACCGCUCCAGUAAAGUCCGCCGAUGACACGUGAUGUGGGUUCUGUCACCUCAGCACUUGAAGAAGCACCACGCUGUCACAUCUGCGCAGCAGCAACACUGUGGCUCCAGGACGUGGCGCUUCCGUGGCUCAAGCCAACGCGUCGGGCACCAACACAUUUUCCAUCUGACCUCACAGACGCCGUGUGGCUGCACGGCGGAGCAGCACCGCUGAUCCCUGACUGUCCAAACAGCCUGCGCACACGUCUCCGUCACGGCUAUUCUUGUCUUGGGCCGGACAGAGCGGCCAGCAGCGCCGUCCAACGCAAGACAACACCAAAUAACUGCUUCAGCUGCUAUACUUGUCUCAUUGUGUAGCGACUCAGCCCAGAAUGGAUCUCAGCAGCUAUAACCACUAAUGUGAGCGGCUGGAGGAACCGCCUGGACACAGGCGACGGCCUACGGCGGGUGGUCGGCGCUAUCAUUGCAGGAGUACAGGGGUGGAAAGGGAUCUAAUGGUAGCUCAGAUGGCAGGUCUCGGUUGUGGAGGAAGAUCCACUGCGGCGGGGGAGCCGAUGGAGAGGUGGAGGAGGCAGAGAUGGAGGAGGGAGGAGGCAGAGAUGGAGGAGGCAGAGAUGGAGGAGGCAGAGAUGGAGGAGGUGGGGGAGGCGGAGGUGGAGGACGCCGAGAUGGAGGAGGCGGAGAAGGCGUAGGUCGAGGGGGCAGAGAUGGAGGAGGCGGAGGUGGAGGAGGCAGAGAUGGAGGAGGCAGAGAUGGAGGAGGCAGAGAUGGAUGAGGUGGAGGAGGCAGAGAUGGAGGAGGUGGAGGAGGCAGAGAUGGAGGAGGUGGAGGAGGCAGAGAUGGAGGAGGCAGAGAUGGAGGAGGCAGAGAUGGAGGAGGUGGAGGAGGCAGAGAUGGAGGAGGUGGAGGAGGCAGAGAUGGAGGAGGUGGAGGACGCCGAGAUGGAGGAG
Molecule: long non-coding RNA, 1718 nt
Filed under: Betta splendens (Siamese fighting fish)
Lineage: Eukaryota; Metazoa; Chordata; Actinopteri; Anabantiformes; Osphronemidae
Description: lncRNA (ENSBSLG00000001360.1)
Source: RNAcentral